CGCGUAGGCGGUUUAUCAAGUCGCAUGUGAAAUACCAGGGCUCAACUCUGGGGGGUCAUGCGAAACUGAUGGACUUGAGUGUAGUAGAGGAAAGCGGAAUUCCUGGUGUAGCGGUAAAAUGCGUAGAGAUCAGGAGGAACACCGGUGGCGAAGGCGGCUUUCUGGGCUAUAACUGACGCUGAGGCGCGAAAGCGUGGGGAGCAAACAGGAUUAGAUACCCUGGUAGUCCACGCUGUAAACGAUGAAUACUAGGUGUAGGGGACGCAGGUCUUCUGUGCCGGAGCUAACGCAAUAAGUAUUCCGCCUGGGGAGUACGGCCGCAAGGUUGAA
This 330-nucleotide ribosomal RNA is filed under the name uncultured bacterium. RNAcentral's name for it is "bacterial SSU rRNA". It matches the Rfam family "Bacterial small subunit ribosomal RNA", at positions 568 to 898 of the family's 1533-position model. The record is from RNAcentral.